CAAUAGCGUAUAUUAAAGUUGUUGCAGUUAAAAAGCUCGUAGUUGGAUUUCUGGUUGAAGCGACCGGUCGGGCGUUGAUUCGUCUGCACUGGAGUCGGUUUUGGCCAUCCUCUAGGAAAGUGCGUCUGGUAUUAAGUUAUCGGGCGUAUGAUCCUGGUCUUUUACUGUGAAAAAAUUAGAGUGUUUAAAGCAGGCCUUCGCCUUGAAUACAUUAGCAUGGAAUAAUAAGAUAGGACUUUGGUCUAUUUUGUUGGUUUGCAGACCGAAGUAAUGAUUAAUAGGGAUAGUUGGGGGUAUUUAUAUUCCGAUGUCAGAGGUGAAAUUCUUAGAUUUUCGGAAGAUAAACUUAUGCGAAAGCAUUUACCAAGGAUGUUUNCAUAAA
Molecule: ribosomal RNA, 382 nt
Filed under: uncultured eukaryote
Lineage: Eukaryota
Description: partial 18S ribosomal RNA
Rfam family: Eukaryotic small subunit ribosomal RNA
Source: RNAcentral